RNAcentral lists this long non-coding RNA (457 nucleotides) under Gossypium barbadense (sea-island cotton). Its description in RNAcentral is "long non-coding RNA (GBAR_LNC006259)". Lineage: Eukaryota; Viridiplantae; Streptophyta; Magnoliopsida; Malvales; Malvaceae. The record is from RNAcentral.
UUCUUUUCCAACCGGCAAGCAAUUGAUCCGACCCAGAUGUCACUGUAAUAUGCUGAGUUAGCAUGCAAAAGAGUGAUUGUUAGAACAAAAUACUAAUUUUUGGAUAACACAGGCUAUUCUCCAACUUACUCUCAUCAGGUCUCAACUCAUGUAAUAGCUAUGUAUAACAAUCACAUCAUCUGUUACGUGAAUAUGCAUGCGUCACCACAAACAAUUUAUUCCGAGCCAUCAAAUUGAAUAAAAAAUAAUUAAUUACAGCUUUCUAACCAUCAAUGUGUAACAUAGUAAUUGAUAUCAUAUGAUGAAGCCACUAUGACAGAGACAUUACAAACAUGCUCUGCACAUUCAUAAGAUCAUAGAGUUAAAAGAGGAUAGAGUUGCUCCAAACUUCAAUUGAGUGUAUUUCUUAGAGCAUGACUUGAGGAUUAAGGAGAAAAUAAAACAAAUAUGCAGUUAC